This 409-nucleotide ribosomal RNA is filed under the name uncultured Hymenobacter sp. RNAcentral describes it as "bacterial SSU rRNA". It matches the Rfam family "Bacterial small subunit ribosomal RNA", at positions 1 to 418 of the family's 1533-position model. The record is from RNAcentral. Lineage: Bacteria; Pseudomonadati; Bacteroidota; Cytophagia; Cytophagales; Hymenobacteraceae.
AGCUGAGUUUGAUCCUGGCUCAGGAUGAACGCUAGCGGCAGGCCUAAUACAUGCAAGUCGAACGGGUGCAGCAAUGCACUAGUGGCGCACGGGUGCGUAACGCGUAACCAACCUGCCCGAAUCUGGGGGAUAGCCCGCCGAAAGGCGGAUUAAUACCGCAUAAGACAAGGGGGCGGCAUCGUCUCUUUGUUAAAGAUUUAUUGGAUUCGGAUGGGGUUGCGUGACAUUAGCUAGUUGGCGGGGUAACAGCCCACCAAGGCGAAGAUGGAUAGCUGGUCUGAGAGGACGAUCAGCCACACUGGGGACUGAGACACGGCCCAGACUCCGUACGGGGAGGCAGCAGUGGGGAAUAUUGCGCAAGUGGGGGGAAACCCUGACGCAGCAACGCCGCGUGAGUGACGAAGGCCUU